Dreissena polymorpha is the source of this 2932-nucleotide long non-coding RNA. RefSeq lists it as uncharacterized. The transcript has 10 exons. The record is from RefSeq and is a predicted model, not a curated record. NCBI's taxonomy places the organism in Eukaryota, Metazoa, Mollusca, Bivalvia, Myida, Dreissenidae.
UUUAAGCCGAGCUCUGGGAAAACGGGGCUUAUGCAAGUUCGUAAAGUGUCGUCUGAGAUUAGCCUGUGCUGUCCGCUUGUACGGCAUUUUUCUUUUUAAAAAGUCUCCUGCUAUCAACAAAUCCUGUUUAAGGGGAAAGUGUUGUCCCUGAUCAGUCACUGUAGACAAGACCGAUAAAUCUGAGACGACACUUAACGCACAUGCAUUAAGCCCCAUUUUACCCCAGGGCGGCUCAUUUCUUUAUCGAAUUCACCGUUAUUCUCUCCUACAUGAGCACCGCAAUCGGAAGACUGCAUGGACACAGUGUUUCGGAGUAGCUCGGUGUGUCGGUCCGUUGAUGUGUCCGGAAAGCAGCGUCCAAUAUAUCCCUAAGCUAUGGACGGUUGCAUAAAGUCAAGGCAAUGACAGAUAUAUGAAGUAUUUCAAAUUGUAGAUCGCCAAAGCGUUGCAGGCGUCGGGGUGGGGUGGGGGGAGGCAGCGUGAGGAUAGCAAGAUACAGGCAACGUUCGAUUCCAGGCAUAGAAGUUGUGUAUUUUAGUUCCCGUUGUGAAGAACCCAGUAGACUGAAGAAAAGCGUUUGUUUUUAGAUAACAUAGCAUGGCCUGAUAUUUUUGGACAACAUUGAAAAAACAUGUUCAUAUAUUUGACGAUAUUCCAAAGUUGUGUCGGUAAUUCCCAAAAUAAAAGAAUAAUCGAGUUAACUGAGUGAAAACACUAUGGACAAAGAUAUAUGCUAUAUAUUCCGUUAUGUUAUGGCUUAGACUUAGAUAUUAUAUAUCUAUAUCAUGGGAAACAUUACACAAUGUUUGUAUCUCUCUAAAUGAAAGCAUGAUUCUAUAUAUAUGGCAUUUGCUUUACUUUCAGAUUGAAAUAAAAGUCAAAGUUCAUUUAAGGUCUCCGUUCUAACCAAUUUUGCCGGUACUUCCGGUCCGCUGGGAGACGUAUUGCCAGUGUGCACUUCUGUUCAUCAGUUCACCGCCACCGACCAGAAUGACGCCAUUUCCUGUUCCAUCAACGCACCGGAGGGCGCAAAGUUUGGCAUCACUAAGGGUUCGACGUCAUGACGAUUGCCACGCUUGAUUACGACUCUGCUACGAGUUACACGAUCACCGUCACGUGUACUGACGCUAUCAACCCUGUGACGUCAUCAAGGACCAUCAACUUAGCAGAUGACGUCGUCCAGCGUCUUCUCGACUACAGAUGUAUCGACCUGCCCCUGUGACCCUUCAGGGGAGAAAAUAAGGUCACUGAAGUCGAGAAACCCGUUUUCUCCGGACUUCGGCUACGUUGUCGCCGGCACGUAACGACGACUUUCAGACGGCGACGUUACUUUGCACGUUCAGCGUCACGGACGCCAACGACCAGAGUAUUAUCACGUGCUUGAUACAGGAAUUUAAAGCUGGUUCGGUGGCUGUGCAACGUCAUUGGGGAAGUUCACAACUACGGACCCGGAUACGACAUGUUCUGUGACGUCACCUGUGACAACAGUCUAUGAGAUCAGAAAAAUUGCGUCACCGACCGAUCCCUAGAAACCGGAGUUCGAAGUGUGGAUCAGAAACGCCGUUACCCAGGCGUCUAUCGACUUCAAUGACUAGGCUGUUCCGCUGCCGCUAACAAUCAAGUGCACAGACGGAAACGUUGUCAAUGACAUCACGGCGACGUUUAACGUCAACAUCGUGGACUCGCCACUGGUUUUCACUGCACUGCCUGCUACCGGAUCUAACAUUUUCGACGGUCUCAAACACGCCACCGAAACCCUUCACACAUUCAGUGUCACCGAUAGCGACGACACCGUUACGUGCUCUGCAAGAGCGCCGGAAAACGCCCUUUUUGAAGUGGUCGCCGGCGUGGCACCAAGAAAUAAACUGGAAAAAUCAAUACCAAUUUAAUCCUCGUUCUGGGAAAACUGGGCUUAAUGCAUGUGCUUUAAAAGUGGUCUCUGAGCGGACCCAGGCUAAAAGGAUUUACAGUUAACGUAAGGAUGGGGGUUACGCUAAGAGCAGAGAACGGACCUUACGUCAUCAACGUCGACUGCUCAGAUGGCGACAAUGACGUCACUGCGACGUUCACACAACCAGUGAUGGAUACGCCGCCGACCGUUGUAUCCGGGAUCCCCUGAAGUUCCCCAAGGUAUCUGACGCCACUGUCACGCAGACGUUACUCGGGAAGUUUACAACUACAGACCCAGAUACGGCGCGCUCUGUGACGUCACCAUCCACCACCGUGUAUGAGAUCAGAAAUGUGACGUCACCGGUGAAUGUUUCUCAGCCAGGAAAUCCUCCAGUAAGGAUAAGAAGUUUAUUGCGGCUGAUGUUGACACAUAUCUCUAUGAGGUUAGGGGAAACAUUGGUGAACGCUGCCUGCCCGACAACACGAAAAUGUUGGCUCUGUACAAGGUCAACCCCAACGCUGAGUGGGUCUUGAAACACAGACAACGCAUGAAAGCCUAUUAACCGCGUCUUAAAAUUGUUCGACAGAGACUGAAAUUUUGCUGGCAGAGAGAAUGGGCAAAACCUCGUAUUUAGCGGUUCUGACAAAAGCCCUCCAUCCCAUUUCUGUGUAUAGCUCUCAUUUCCAUUUAGAGCUCCAAUAACUAUUUUGAGCUCCCAUUUCUAUUUAGAGCUCACUUGUGUUUUUAGAGCCCUAAUGUCUGUUUAGAGCUCCAAUUUAUAUGUAUUGCUCCCAUUACUAUUUAAAGCUUCUUUGUUAUUGUAUGUUUUCUGCAAAGUAUUAUACAUGUACUAUAAUUACUGAUGCUGGCCCUUUUUGACCCAUAUCCAACAGUGUUGUCUCAUUACAUUUAAUGUUAUGUGCAUCACAAAUGUUGCGCUAAGUUAUUUCUUGUGUUUGUAUACUAGAUGACUAUUAGGAAUAUGUACUAUAAUAGUAAAUAUGGCUAUACACAUGUUAUUAAAUACGUCUGAAGAUGAAA